This 777-nucleotide ribosomal RNA is filed under the name uncultured bacterium. RNAcentral's name for it is "bacterial SSU rRNA". It matches the Rfam family "Bacterial small subunit ribosomal RNA", at positions 8 to 796 of the family's 1533-position model. The record is from RNAcentral.
AGAGUUUGAUCCUGGCUCAGGACGAACGCUGGCGGCGUGCUUAACACAUGCAAGUCGAACGGUGAUCUGGGGGCUUGCCCCUGGUGAUCAGUGGCGAACGGGUGAGUAACACGUGAGUAACCUGCCCCUGACUCUGGGAUAACUGCUGGAAACGGUGGCUAAUACCGGAUAUGAAGCGCUCCUGCAUGGGGGUGUUUGGAAAGAUUUUUUGGUCAGGGAUGGGCUCGCGGCCUAUCAGCUUGUUGGUGGGGUGAUGGCCUACCAAGGCGACGACGGGUAGCCGGCCUGAGAGGGCGACCGGCCACACUGGGACUGAGACACGGCCCAGACUCCUACGGGAGGCAGCAGUGGGGAAUAUUGCACAAUGGGCGAAAGCCUGAUGCAGCGACGCCGCGUGAGGGAUGGAGGCCUUCGGGUUGUAAACCUCUUUCAGCAGGGAAGAAGCGCAAGUGACGGUACCUGCAGAAGAAGCGCCGGCUAACUACGUGCCAGCAGCCGCGGUAAUACGUAGGGCGCAAGCGUUGUCCGGAAUUAUUGGGCGUAAAGAGCUCGUAGGCGGUUUGUCGCGUCUGCUGUGAAAACCUAAGGCUCAACCUUGGGCUUGCAGUGGGUACGGGCAGACUAGAGUGCGGUAGGGGUGACUGGAAUUCCUGGUGUAGCGGUGGAAUGCGCAGAUAUCAGGAGGAACACCGAUGGCGAAGGCAGGUCACUGGGCCGCAACUGACGCUGAGGAGCGAAAGCAUGGGGAGCGAACAGGAUUAGAUACCCUAGUAGUCC